GAGAUACUAGUAAAGUAUUACACUGCUUUGUCAAGGCAGAGUCGCGGGUGGAACCCCCGCGUAUCUUA
Molecule: transfer RNA, 68 nt
Filed under: Diaphus chrysorhynchus (golden-nosed lantern fish)
Lineage: Eukaryota; Metazoa; Chordata; Actinopteri; Myctophiformes; Myctophidae
Also listed under: 1 other name
Description: tRNA-Asp
Rfam family: tRNA
About the family: Transfer RNA (tRNA) molecules are approximately 80 nucleotides in length.
Source: RNAcentral